UUUUGGCUAUUCAAAGCUGAUUCAAAAUAACUGUUUGUUUCAGAUUCAGCUUGAAUCCGGUCCCUACACCUGAAACAAACAACACCAAAUUCUAAAUACACCACCAAUGCCCAAGGCAAUUUCAGGACAAGGGAAAUUCAUCUCAAACUGGGGAACAAAACUCACAACAGUAGCACUUUCCCUUAACAGGAGCAAAAUGUGACAAAGGCAUAGUUUUCACCAACACGAUCAUAAGUUAUCAACUUAAAAGUGCUGUAAACACAAAGGAACCACCCUCCUCCUUCAACAUCUAAAGGCCGACAUACUGUCUACUCCAUGCAACGGCAAUCUAAGACCUGGGCUUCUCCUUCUUCUCUUUGAAGAGGGCAAGCAGAGACACACCAGACACCUUGACGACCUUGAACCGGACACCGGGAAUAUCUCCCACGGCAUGCCCCUUACGACCGAAUCCAGCAAUCAGCACCUCGUCCUGGACAACAGGUGAAAGACAGACUUAGUACCUACAGCAGAGCAAGCAUUUGAAAAGUACCAAGAUGGAGAACAUACAUUCUCCUCGAUGAAGUUCAGGCAACCAUCAUUGGGAACGAAGGC
RNAcentral lists this long non-coding RNA (591 nucleotides) under Triticum aestivum (bread wheat). Its description in RNAcentral is "long non-coding RNA (TAES_LNC027687)". Lineage: Eukaryota; Viridiplantae; Streptophyta; Magnoliopsida; Poales; Poaceae. The record is from RNAcentral.